This 449-nucleotide ribosomal RNA is filed under the name uncultured bacterium. RNAcentral describes it as "bacterial SSU rRNA". It matches the Rfam family "Bacterial small subunit ribosomal RNA", at positions 354 to 796 of the family's 1533-position model. The record is from RNAcentral.
GUCGAGAAUUUUUCACAAUGGGGGAAACCCUGAUGGAGCGACGCCGCGUGGGGGAUGAAUGGCUUCGGCCCGUAAACCCCUGUCAUUUGCGAGCAAUUGCACCCGCCUAAUACGCUGGUGCUUGAUAGUAGCGAAAGAGGAAGGGACGGCUAACUCUGUGCCAGCAGCCGCGGUAAUACAGAGGUCCCAAGCGUUGUUCGGAUUCACUGGGCGUAAAGGGUGCGUAGGCGGUCAGUCUAGUCUGAUGUGAAAGCUCCGAGCUCAACUCGGAAACGGCAUCGGAAACUGGCUGGCUAGAGGAGUGGAGGGGGGAUUGGAAUUCUCGGUGUAGCAGUGAAAUGCGUAGAUAUCGAGAGGAACACCCGUGGCGAAGGCAAAUCCCUGGACACCUCCUGACGCUGAGGCACGAAAGCUAGGGGAGCAAACAGGAUUAGAAACCCUAGUAGUCC